RNAcentral lists this ribosomal RNA (474 nucleotides) under Acanthurus lineatus (lined surgeonfish). Its description in RNAcentral is "partial small subunit ribosomal RNA". It matches the Rfam family "Bacterial small subunit ribosomal RNA", at positions 788 to 1491 of the family's 1533-position model. Lineage: Eukaryota; Metazoa; Chordata; Actinopteri; Acanthuriformes; Acanthuridae. The record is from RNAcentral.
CACUAUGCCUAGCCUUAAACAUUGAUGAUAGCUUACAAUUAUCAUCCGCCUGGGGACUACGAGCACCAGCUUAAAACCCAAAGGACUUGGCGGUGCUUUAGACCCACCUAGAGGAGCCUGUUCUAGAACCGAUAACCCCCGUUCAACCUCACCCUUCCUUGUUCUUCCCGCCUAUAUACCACCGUCGUCAGCUUACCCUGUGAAGGGCUAAUAGUAAGCAAAACCGGCAAAGCCCAAAACGUCAGGUCGAGGUGUAGCGUAUGGAAGGGGAAGAAAUGGGCUACAUUCACUGAUUUAGUGUAUACGAAUGACACCCUGAAACACGUGUCUGAAGGAGGAUUUAGCAGUAAGCAGAAAAUAGAGCGUUCUACUGAAACUGGCCCUGAAGCGCGCACACACCGCCCGUCACUCUCCCCGAGCUAAGACUCUCAAAUAAAUAAAUAACUAUACCUGCAAAGGGGAGGCAAGUCGUAA